Molecule: long non-coding RNA, 775 nt
Organism: Callithrix jacchus (white-tufted-ear marmoset)
Lineage: Eukaryota; Metazoa; Chordata; Mammalia; Primates; Cebidae
Source: Ensembl
GCGGGUGUGCCACGGGGGAGGAACUGAGGGGAAUGGCUGUCCUUGUGACCAGCCACCUGGAUUCUGUUACCUGACGUUGUCUGGAGGAGAAGCAAACCGUCUAACAGGAGGCAGCGAUGCAAGUUGUAGGAAGGUGCCCACCGAAUUGUGGCUUGCACAGGCAACAGAGCCCUGGCGCGAGGGCUGGCUGGGGACAGCGAAGCGAGGGACGCAGCUUUGUGGCCCCGCGUGCCUGCCAGUGUCGUCCCGGAGGCGGGGCCGCGCUCUAAACCCACAGGGCUGGGCGGGGCUGAAGAUAGGUUUCCAGACCAAUGUGAGGGGCUGCUCCCAGCAGGCGGUUUGGCCCCGGCAGCAGCUUAGCAUCUGGGCCACACCACGCGGGCUCCCAGCGCUGUCCACCGCCCCUCCAGGAACGCGCUGGCCUCUUCUGCUGCGUGUGGAAACAAGGGAAACCCGGCCUCAAAGACUCUCAUGGGAGAACACUUGCCAGCUAAUGGCCAGGACACGGCCCCCUCCAACACCUCCUGCCCCUCCGCUGUUGAACUUCACACCCAAGUUUAUGUCACUGCUCCGUGCCCAGGACCUCGGAUGGCACCAGCUGACAGUGGCAUCCCAUCUCUACAAUUUGAGGUUUCACCCAUAUUCACAAAGGACCAGGGGGUGCAGGACCUCCAACCCAGGCAUCCAUGGAGGCUGACACAUCUGGAGGACAGUGGAAGCUGCAUUUGUAAAUCUCCCAGACUCAGCCCUGUGGGUCUCCUCUUUUGGCUUAUAU